RNAcentral lists this long non-coding RNA (498 nucleotides) under Numida meleagris (helmeted guineafowl). Its description in RNAcentral is "lncRNA (ENSNMEG00000014544.1)". Lineage: Eukaryota; Metazoa; Chordata; Aves; Galliformes; Numididae. The record is from RNAcentral.
UCCAUUCAGCAGUGUCUAGCAUGCCAGCUAGUACACUAGAGUCAGAGUACUCUAACCAAUUCCAUUAUAAACCCUUCUAUGGAAAAAUUUAUAAGUCUGCUAUAAAUGUUCACUCAAGCCUGAUCGGUGCCAAAGAACAUUUCUUUUUCCACUUAAAAAUAAUAUGAGAGCACUGUUUAUAGAUGAUAGAAUUACAAAAGGGGAGAGAGAGAGAGAGAGAUUUUCAAAGUCAUAAAUUGGAAUUGAAUAUCCAUCCUCUGUGCCUUGGAAUAAAUGCCAAUAACUUCAAAACAAAAAAAGUGUGGCAUAGGUUAUGGGAGAAACGUAUCCAUUUUCUCUGGAAUAAUGAAUUUCUUUGACAUCAAAAAAUGUAUGGGAAGGACACUGUAUUUUUCUACAUAUCAGGAAACCGCGACCACCAUAUGGAAGGAAACCUGCCCUUCAGGACAUGCAGGAAUUAGCAGACUGAAAGAAACUUCUUCUUUUCCUCUGGACUGA